Molecule: long non-coding RNA, 270 nt
Filed under: Lathyrus oleraceus (garden pea)
Lineage: Eukaryota; Viridiplantae; Streptophyta; Magnoliopsida; Fabales; Fabaceae
Description: Pisum sativum (pea) long non-coding RNA (PSAT_LNC038147)
Source: RNAcentral
GAAAACCUGCAAUUGUCACCGGAAUCUUCAUGCUCACCGGAGAAGAAGGUGGCUCCGGUGGCCUUCCAAUUUCCAGAACAAGUCACAACCGUUGGAUCAUGUGUCCAGAUCUAAUCAGGUCCAUUGGAUUUCAUGACCUUAUUUAAUUCAUUAUACUUCUCAUUGACUGAGGUUCAUGGUGCACGCGCUUGCCAAUGCCAUUGGAUCUUCCACGUCAUUUAAUGAAAAACAAUCCAACGCUCCCUGAUUUUUGUUAUUUUUCAUUUUCUG